UGGGGAAUCUUGCACAAUGGAGGAAACUCUGAUGCAGCGACGCCGCGUGAGCGAUGAAGCCCUUCGGGGUGUAAAGCUCUUUCGACGGGAACGAUAAUGACGGUACCCGAAGAAGAAGCUGCGGCUAACUACGUGCCAGCAGCCGCGGUAAUACGUAGGCAGCAAGCGUUGUUCGGAAUUACUGGGCGUAAAGAGUGUGUAGGCGGUGCUCUAAGUCUGUUGUGAAAUCUCCCGGCUUAACCGGGAGGGUGCGGCGGAAACUGGAGUGCUUGAGGGUGGGAGAGGUAAGCGGAAUUCCUGGUGUAGCGGUGAAAUGCGUAGAUAUCAGGAGGAACACCUGUGGUGUAGACAGCUUACUGGACCACUUCUGACGCUGAGACACGAAAGCGUGGGUAGCAAACAG
This 403-nucleotide ribosomal RNA is filed under the name uncultured bacterium. RNAcentral's name for it is "bacterial SSU rRNA". It matches the Rfam family "Bacterial small subunit ribosomal RNA", at positions 355 to 775 of the family's 1533-position model. The record is from RNAcentral.